UCCCUCAGCGCGGACUCAGCAGCCCUUUGGUUGGAUUCCUUAGCACCUCUCCCCCCCAUAACUACAGAGAUUUCUUUGAGGCCUGGUAGGUGCUCGAUGCCAGCAGGCACAGCUCCGUACCUGUCCCAUCCCUUUGCAUUGAAACAUAGCUCGAGCCUUUCGAGCUGGGGCAUUGUCUCUGCCUCAAAGGUCAGGUACGAUAUCCUGCCACAGGCGACUCUAAAAUGCUUCAGAACAGGGAAUAAUCCACUUCCUCCAGGAAUGAUGAUCUUAGCUUCAGGAGCUCUAUGGAUGUGCAAAACUAGGUGGAUAAGGGAGGGCAGCUGUGAAAGAAUUCCAACAUCAUCCUCCAACACCUCCUGAACAGUGAGAUACAGGUCAUAGAUGCUAUGGAGCUGGCUAAUCCACUUUGGAACCCUCGAGAACCACGAUAGCCACUUUGCAUGGAAGCUUUGCAGAUGGAAGAAAUAAGCUGGGACUGAACGCCAUACAUCGAAGCAGCUUCUGAAAAAAACAUUAUUACUACAAAUAUGUAGAUGUCUGAGGUUGCAAAGGUUUUCAAAGGCGUGCACAACUUGCCAACAUCUCGCAGCAGUCUCAUCUCCAGAUUUUUUGUAUUCGUAGCCACAGCUGAUUUCAAGAUUUGUCAGAUUUGUCAGUUCUCUCAGACCCUUGAUACUGUCCAAUGAGUUGCCCAAAUCAAACUGGCCUAGAGUACGCAAAGAUUUCAUAUUACCAAUCCUAUCAGGCAAUAUUACAUAACCAGGAAUAGCCAGAUGCAACAACCGGCUCAAAUUAAAAAUAUCUGAUGGUAGUUUUGUAAUCCGUGGCGCUAUUCCAGUUCUUAUGUCAAAUGUUUCCAGUUGCUGAAGAUCCCCAAUUUUACUAGGUAACACCACAUGGCAACCUUCUGCUACGAUCUUUAAGAAUCUUAACUGAAACAGGUGACGUAUCCCAGUAAAGUCUAGCGAUGGAUUGGACCAUCCUGAAAUUUCAAUUCCUAGAACUCGGAGAUGCUUGAACAGUUUAAAAGAGAGCAACUGCGAGGAGGUACCAAAUCUUGCUAGCGUACGUAUUUGGGAUAGCUGGACAGAUCUCGCUGCAGUGUCAGCAGUGUCAUUUGUUGCAUCAUCCAGGUUGAGCGAGAUCCGGCGGAUCUUGUUUUGAUGUCCUGUCAUGUCUUGCAUAUCAUCGAUUAUAGUUAUGAAAUUCUCUUCUCUAGACUUAUGUAAUAUAAGAUCGAGCAUCAUAUCAUGUACCCGGCAAGAUAUUACCUCACCAUUAUAGUCUGUAUCUACAGGCAGAAUCAUACUUCUAUUGAUAAGCUCAUUAAAAUAGCUCUCUGCAAUAUCCUUUGGAUCUAUCCCACGCUCUUUACAUAUAAAUCCUUCAGCAACCCAUUGCCUAGUCAAAUCAUUCUUGUCAAUUGUGUAGUCUUCUGGAUAAAUACCAAGAUAUAGCAUGCAAGUCUUCAAAUAAUGAGGAAGAUUUAUGUAGCUGAGAUUCAAUAUUUGUCUCAUGCCUUCCAAGCUUGGGCUCACUUCAAAGUUGGAGCCUAGAGACUUCCGUACAUACUCCCACCGCUCCUUUUUAAGCUUGUUUGGCUGAUUGGCUAACAGGCUAGAUGUUGUGAUAAUUGCAAGUGGCAAGCCACCACAUUUUUUCAAAAUUUCAGACGACACUUCGUUCAAAUAUGAAGGGCACAUAUCCUCUGAACCAAAUAUUCUUUUGAGGAAUAAGCUUCUUGAGUCUUGGUCACUAAGGGCCUUCAUUUUGUAAACACAUUCAAUGUGAUUACUACAGCAAGCUCUAGCCACAGCCUCAAUUCUGGUAGUUGUUAUUACUCUGCUACCAUUCGUGUUCUCCGGAAGAGCACAUCUGAUAAUAUCCCAUGCAGAAGCAUCCCAGAUGUCAUCGAUUACAAUGAGGUACCUGCGAUGUAAAUACAUAUGGAGUGUAGCAACCAUCAUGACAGAGUAAAUGAAGACAUGAAAGUAUAUCAUCACUAAAGAUCAAAAACAACAAGAAGAAAAACACAAUUAUCCCUACUCUGCUCCUUUCUUCUCAUCCACUCAGUGAAAGAUUGAGGAACAUCGUUCCCCACUGUCUAUUUCAUCUCUUUAUUUUUUUAAAAAUGAAGUAGCUUUUUUCUGUGGGCUACACUGAAGGGGCAUGGGAUGUCAGAACAACCUGUCUGGUGCUAAAAUUGAGCGAACUAUGGCUCAUGGGCCUUGCUCUGUUUUUCAAGUAACAAUUCUCAAAACUGAAUCAUAUAUACUUAAUUAGGCUGCGGUGAGAAAGAAAUGCUAAUUGGAGGGGUGCAAUUUGAAGAAUAGAAAUGAAAAGCAAUAUUCAGAGUUCUGAUAACAAUUUUAAACCUUUUGUGUAUUUUAUAAGGAUUUCUCUGUUUUUCAUAUGCUAAUAAUGAAUAUUUUAACAGAUCUGAUAAAGUACAAAACCAUUGAAUGCAGAUUCCAAGUAAUGUGAAUGCUAACAAACAUCCAUUAUACAUUUAAGGAUACAACACAUACUAGUCAGCCACAAGAAACCAACGUCUAGAGAACAAAUCUAGACACCUCAUAUUAUAAAGUUCUAAAGAAUACUAUGGUGCUAAAGAAGAAUAGCUUCAAAAUAAAAAAGAAAGUUUCAUAUCAGAAAUCACUCAGAGCACAAUUACUUUGAGACGCGCGUACCUCUUGUCCAAUAGGAAAUUUUUCAGUGCAAUGAUCAAUUCAGACUCUUCCCACAUUUCAAUGUUGGUGUCCUUAGGAGCUACAAAUCCAGCUUGAGAUAAUAUGCUUCUCAGAAUCUUCCUAAUGUUUGGUUUUUGGGACACAGAAACAAAAGCUGGAGACUGGAACUUCUCCUCAAGCUUGUGAUAAAUCUCAUUUGCAAGCGUAGUCUUUCCGAGACCUCCAAAGCCCACAAUAGAGAGCACCUUUAGCUGAUGCGCAGGCACACCCUCUCCAUCCAUCAACUGAAUCAGCUGGUCUCUUGGUCCCUUGACACCGACAAGGCUCGUCGUCUCCGCAUGGAGCGCCAACAAGCGAGGAUCGAUGGUUGUGUUGUUUUGCUUUGGGACAGUGUCGUCAAUCUUGUACCUCGUGCGACGCUCACUUGCCUCCUUGACACGGAUCUUAAGGCCUUCAAACUCUUUUGCAAUCUCAUGCCUAGUGUUCAUUGUUGUCAGCAACUUGGUGCUCCUGGUGAUGAACCCUUUGAAUCCGUGUGGCUUGCUGGAGUCACGUUCCACGCGGAGCAUGAACUCGCUGAUGCUGUCCUCGAUGUCAUAGGACAGCUCGCGAACCUCCUUGGCCCAGCACUUGUCUUGGUCGUCAGGCUCCUCUGAAUCUGAGAUCUUCUUCAUGAAGACAUACAUGCUCUCGAGCUCAGCUUUUAGGAACAUGAUCUGCCCCUUAGCUUCUUUGAGCAACUUGUACUCGGCUGUGAGCAGCUCACUAAGCUUUCGAAGCAGGGAGCCCAUGGCGCCGCCCGAUGCGCUCACCACCGCAGCCUCCAUGGCCUCCUCUUUCCUCUCUUUGCUUGCUCUCAAUGUGACCGUGUGCAGUUUUCUCUGCGGUGCAGUGUGAGGUCUGCCAAGUGCCAAGCAAGCGCUUGACUGGAACAAAUGAGACCCUAAGCAAAGAAAGAUUCCUCUCAUCAAUCACAGAUAGAUACAUAUGCAAUCUCUUUCUUCCUUGUUAUUCCAAUGACUUUUUUCACAUGUGAUCAGUGUUCUCUUUAGCAUAAAGUCGUAAUAAUGGAGAAUAGGGUGCCCACUGCACGGUACCAGUCCAAAAGGAAACAAAGUUGAUAGGUACAUGUGGAUGCCUAUCGUGCGUCUUGUGGUUUGCUCAUCCUAAAAGUCUUUCCACUACCGUUAGUUUCUGAUAAAAUAAUCUAAAGAGAACAAUGAAUACAUACAUAUCAAUACAUGAAACUACCAAUCUCGCUAAAAAAAUAUGUAAGAAACAUGGCUCCAUUAGGCUAUAAUUGUGAUUUUGUUGAUUGUAUGAUAAUAUAGUCAAUCCGACUAAUGUUAAGAUUUUAGAAUUGUCUAAUUCACCCCUCCUCCUCAUAGGCUACAAGCACCGAUUUCUUUCAAAAAAUUAUUAUCGCACGCUGUGAUAGACAGCUGAACCAGCAUCACUAAACGUGAUUUAUUUGACAUUAAUUGUGGUGUUCUCUUUGGAGUGUGUUUUGAGGUCUAUGACAAGACGAUUGGCUACAAUGGGGUCCACAUGCAGAGAUUCUUCUCACCAAUUAUUGAUCAAUGCCGCACUCGCUUUGUUCCUUUUCAUCAUCUUUGCCUUUGGUUUGAUUUUUGUGGAAGGAAUGUGGCCGCUGCCAAUGGGCGCGCGAUUCCGAAGAACUGAAGGUGAGUGAGGGGCGCUUCUAUAUAACUUGUGGAAGCUGGUUAAACAUUAUAGCUUCAAAGCUCAUUAAGCCCAUUAGAUCAAAAUUAGAAGCUGUCAAUUAUAUUAAAAGGAUUAACAUGAAAGCUGUCCAAUAAUUUUAUACAUGCGGUACCCCUUGGAAGCUCGAGGAGCCAUCGUCUCCUCAUAUGUCAGAUUCUAUAAAAGAAAAUACAAAUAGGAAGCCCUUGCAUGUCUAAUUUAGUAUUUUAUAUUCCACGCGUGCAGCUAGCUCGCAUCUUGUGUUAUUCAACGUAGGUCAUGCACUUUGCAUGAUGCAAAGAAGACCAACCAACUCUAAAUUACUCUCUCCGUCUAAAAUAAAUUAUUCUACGAUUCAAAACUUAUUCUAAAAAUAAAUCAUCUUACUCUAUUUAGAAAGUGUAUGUCAUGGUAAGAAUCAAUUAGUGCUAGCUGGAAGGAUUACUACAUUAUUGUGCUGCAAUACAGGAUAUCAAUAUCAGUUCAUUUAUUUAAACAGUCACUAUAUAAUAUGUGAUAGUUACGUAUAAACUUAGCAAGUUUCGGAACCUAGAUGUACACACCACUGCAUCUUAUAAGGAUUAGAUACCAUGACACCGUGAGGAUUGUCGGUGUACGUCACGGUUCUGUUUUUUUAAAAAAAAAACCGAACCACAGGUGUAUAUAGAAUGUAGAUAUACAGAGAUGAUCAGAAGCCAGCGCGCGCGCCCGCGCACACUCGCUUGGGGGUAAUUAGUUAAUGAUCGACAUUUACCAAACUGACAGCGGAAAGUGCUUAUAUUUCCCUAAUGAGUCAUAUAUUGAGUAUGUAAAAAAGUGGUAGAGGUUAAUUAGACCUUUAAUCUUGCUUAGACAUGCCCGGCCAGCAUCUGCAGGUGUGCGUGUGCACCCGUGACCCAGCAUCAGCAUUUGUACCCUGUGAUACACAAAGAAAAGGGUAAUGGUCAAUAUUUAGCUAGAAGGAAUAUAUAUAUAUAUAUAUAUAUAUAUAUAUAUAUAUAUAUACAUGAAAAAUCUAUUCUACACGCGCUUGUAGCUACUCCUACGUAUGUAUCUCAUGAUGGAGGACGUCGUAUCUAACCCAAUAAAAGAUAUGCACGAUGUGUAUAUGAUCAUACUAGACCAUCUGUAAUGGUACAUACGUUGGGUAUAUGACCGAGUAUGUAGACAUACUUAAUUUUAUAUACUAGUAUUAAGGUAUAAUAAUAUAUGUUUAAAAAAUAAGGAUGCUUUUGAAAUUUUUCGUAUAUAUCCCUUUAAAGUAUCUUAGAAUAAAUAUAUAAAUAUACUCAAAAUAAUAAAUGAGUAUGUGAACAUACGCACGAUGGUAUAUUGAUGGUGAGAGUAGCUACACGCGAGUGUAGAUAAAACCCGUCCUAUAUAUAUAUAGGAAAAAUUCAUUCUACACGCAUUUGUAGCUACUCCCAUAUGUGUAUCUCAUGACGUAGGACGUAUCUGACCCAACGAAGAGCAUGUACAUGAAGUACGUGAUCAUAUUAGAAUAUCUAUAAUGGUAUAUACGUUGGGUAUGUGACCAUACAUACAGUAUGCGAACAUACUAAUUUUUAUAUACUAGUACUAUAUAUAUGAUGAGGUUUUUCUACACUCGCAUGUAGCUACUCUCAUCAUCAGUAUACCACCGUGCGUAUGUCCGUAUACUUAUAAUUCACUUUAAAUAUGUUUAUGUACUGAUUCUAAGAUACUCACAAGGAUACAUAUGAAAAAUUUCAAAAGCAUCCUUAUUUUUUAAAUAUAUCAUCAUUAUACCUGUAGUAUUAUUAGUAUAUAAAAAUAAGUAUGUCCAUGUAUUUUAUGUAUGGUCACGUACCCAAUAUAUAUACUAUCAUAUAUAUAUAUAUAUAUAUAUAUAUAUAUUAAGUGCUGAAUUUUGAAAAAAAAAGACAUGGUAUAUAAAAGAAAAGGAGCUCGUGCAGUGCGUGACGGACCCACACACGUCUUAUCAAGUGCUGCGCCAACGUAGGGUCCAGCGCAUCAGUCAGGUGAUUAUUGAUUUCAUUAAUCUCCUCGUGAACGAUGUGACUAUCUUUGAUAAAAGAGAAUUCCUUUAUCCGGGCCUCCGCGUGAUUUGUAAAGUGGCGUCAAUAGAUUUUAAUUCUGGAUCCCUAAUUUGUGAAGCUUUGUUCAUCUCGCCGUGAGGACUAGUAGAAUGAAAAAGAAAUAGAGACAAUUCGAGACAAAACAAUUUGUUACUCGGUCCUCAUCAGGUAGUAGCUUGCAUGGAACCGACUAAUCAAAGCUAGAAAGCACUUGAGCAUCCAUCAUUAUUCCUAACUCAACAAUUCCACACCACAGGCCUGUGAUGCUGAAAAUUGAUUCAGAACCAGCAGCAUCGGAAAAUAAUGACAACUUUCAAACGAACAGUACAGCUAGCUGACAGUAGUACAUGAAACGAGAAGACUGGAGCCGGUCGGCGGCCGACAGAUGUGUGUAUCGUCUAGAUUUCUUCAGCAGAGACAUGAUAUGGUCCUGCCCACAACCACAGCCCAAGCAAUGGCCGUCAAAUGAAAUAUCCAACUGAAACGUCGUGGUACCAGCUACGAGUAUGUAAUGCUGCUGGCGAUUCAUAAAAGGAGGCAAACUGCAUGACUUUGUACUUGGCCUUGAUCAUGUGCUGCUGCUGCUACUCCCACCGUUCCCCUCCUCCUCCUCCUCCUCAGGCUCAUCAAAUACCCACCCUCUACCUUUGUUAACCUUGAUGUUGGCUACAGGACGUCGUGGGUGCAUGUCAGCCGUGUCCCUCAGCGCGGACUCAGCAGCCCUCCGGUUGGAUUCGUUAGCACCGCUCCCCCCAAUAUCUACAGAGAUUUCUUUGAGGCCUGGUAGGUGCUCGAUGCCAGCAGGCACAGCUCCGUACCUGUCCCAUCCCUUUGCAUUGAAACAUAGCUCGAGCCUUUCGAGCUUGGGCAUUGUCUCUGCCUCAAAGGUCAGGUACGAUAUCCUGCCACAGAUGAUUCUAAAAUGUUUCAGAACAGGGAAUAAUCCACUUCCUCCAGGAAUGAUGAUCUUAGCUUCAGGAGCUCUACGGAUGUGCAAAACUAGGUGGAUAAGGGAGGGCAGCUGUGAAAGAAUUCCAACAUCAUCCUCCAACACCUCCUGAACAGUGAGAUCCAGGUCAUAGAUGCUAUGGAGCUGGCCAAUCCACUUUGGAACCCUCGAGAACCACGAUACCCAUUUUGCAUGGAAGCUUUGCAGAUGGAAGAAAUAAGCUGGGACUGAACGCCAUACAUCGAAGCAGCUUCUGACAAGAUCAUUAAAACUAUAAAUAUGUAGAUGUCUGAGGUUGCAAAGAUUUUCGAGGGCGUGCACAACUUCCCAACAUUUCGCAGCAGUCUCAUCUCUAGAUUUACUGUAGUGGUAGUAACAGCUGAUUUCAAGGUUUGUCAGAUUGGUCAGUUCUCUCAGACCCUUGAUGCUGUCCAUUGAGUUGCCCAAAUCAAACCGUCCAAGAGUACGCAAAGAUUUCAUGUUACCAAUCCUAUCAGGUAAUAUUACAUGACUAGGAACAACCAGAUGCAACAACCGGCUCAAAUUAAAAAUAUCUGAUGGUAGUUUCGGAAGCCAUGUUCGUUUAUAUGGAUUUUUUCCAUUUCCUAUGUCAAACGUUUCCAGUUGCUGAAGAUCCCCAAUUUUACUAGGUAACACCACAUGGCAACCUUCUGCUACGAUCUUUAAGAAUCUUAACUGAAACAGGUGACGUAUCCCAGUAAAGUCUAGCGAUGGAUCUGACUUGGACCAUCCUGAAAUUUCAAUUCCUAGAACUCGGAGAUGCUUGAACAGUUUAAAAGAGAGCAACUGCGAGGAGGUACCAAAUCUUGCUAGCGUACGUAUUUGGGAUAGCUGGACAGAUCUCGCUGCAGUGUCAGCAGUGUCAUUUGUUGCAUCAUCCAGGUUGAGCGAGAUCCGGCGGAUCUUGUUUUGAUGUCCUGUCAUGUCUUGCAUAUCAUCGAUUAUAGUUAUGAAAUUCUCUUCUCUAGACUUAUGUAAUAUAAGAUCGAGCAUCAUAUCAUGUACCCGGCAAGAUAUUACCUCACCAUUAUAGUCUGUAUCUACAGGCAGAAUCAUACUUCUAUUGAUAAGCUCAUUAAAAUAGCUCUCUGCAAUAUCCUUUGGAUCUAUCCCACGCUCUUUACAUAUAAAUCCUUCAGCAACCCAUUGCCUAGUCAAAUCAUUCUUGUCAAUUGUGUAGUCUUCUGGAUAAAUACCAAGAUAUAGCAUGCAAGUCUUCAAAUAAUGAGGAAGAUUUAUGUAGCUGAGAUUCAAUAUUUGUCUCAUGCCUUCCAAGCUUGGGCUCACUUCAAAGUUGGAGCCUAGAGACUUCCGUACAUACUCCCACCGCUCCUUUUUAAGCUUGUUUGGCUGAUUGGCUAACAGGCUAGAUGUUGUGAUAAUUGCAAGUGGCAAGCCACCACAUUUUUUCAAAAUUUCAGACGACACUUCGUUCAAAUAUGAAGGGCACAUAUCCUCUGAACCAAAUAUUCUUUUGAGGAAUAAGCUUCUUGAGUCUUGGUCACUAAGGGCCUUCAUUUUGUAAACACAUUCAAUGUGAUUACUACAGCAAGCUCUAGCCACAGCCUCAAUUCUGGUAGUUGUUAUUACUCUGCUACCAUUCGUGUUCUCCGGAAGAGCACAUCUGAUAAUAUCCCAUGCAGAAGCAUCCCAGAUGUCAUCGAUUACAAUGAGGUACCUGCGAUGUAAAUACAUAUGGAGUGUAGCAACCAUCAUGACAGAGUAAAUGAAGACAUGAAAGUAUAUCAUCACUAAAGAUCAAAAACAACAAGAAGAAAAACACAAUUAUCCCUACUCUGCUCCUUUCUUCUCAUCCACUCAGUGAAAGAUUGAGGAACAUCGUUCCCCACUGUCUAUUUCAUCUCUUUAUUUUUUUAAAAAUGAAGUAGCUUUUUUCUGUGGGCUACACUGAAGGGGCAUGGGAUGUCAGAACAACCUGUCUGGUGCUAAAAUUGAGCGAACUAUGGCUCAUGGGCCUUGCUCUGUUUUUCAAGUAACAAUUCUCAAAACUGAAUCAUAUAUACUUAAUUAGGCUGCGGUGAGAAAGAAAUGCUAAUUGGAGGGGUGCAAUUUGAAGAAUAGAAAUGAAAAGCAAUAUUCAGAGUUCUGAUAACAAUUUUAAACCUUUUGUGUAUUUUAUAAGGAUUUCUCUGUUUUUCAUAUGCUAAUAAUGAAUAUUUUAACAGAUCUGAUAAAGUACAAAACCAUUGAAUGCAGAUUCCAAGUAAUGUGAAUGCUAACAAACAUCCAUUAUACAUUUAAGGAUACAACACAUACUAGUCAGCCACAAGAAACCAACGUCUAGAGAACAAAUCUAGACACCUCAUAUUAUAAAGUUCUAAAGAAUACUAUGGUGCUAAAGAAGAAUAGCUUCAAAAUAAAAAAGAAAGUUUCAUAUCAGAAAUCACUCAGAGCACAAUUACUUUGAGACGCGCGUACCUCUUGUCCAAUAGGAAAUUUUUCAGUGCAAUGAUCAAUUCAGACUCUUCCCACAUUUCAAUGUUGGUGUCCUUAGGAGCUACAAAUCCAGCUUGAGAUAAUAUGCUUCUCAGAAUCUUCCUAAUGUUUGGUUUUUGGGACACAGAAACAAAAGCUGGAGACUGGAACUUCUCCUCAAGCUUGUGAUAAAUCUCAUUUGCAAGCGUAGUCUUUCCGAGACCUCCAAAGCCCACAAUAGAGAGCACCUUUAGCUGAUGCGCAGGCACACCCUCUCCAUCCAUCAACUGAAUCAGCUGGUCUCUUGGUCCCUUGACACCGACAAGGCUCGUCGUCUCCGCAUGGAGCGCCAACAAGCGAGGAUCGAUGGUUGUGUUGUUUUGCUUUGGGACAGUGUCGUCAAUCUUGUACCUCGUGCGACGCUCACUUGCCUCCUUGACACGGAUCUUAAGGCCUUCAAACUCUUUUGCAAUCUCAUGCCUAGUGUUCAUUGUUGUCAGCAACUUGGUGCUCCUGGUGAUGAACCCUUUGAAUCCGUGUGGCUUGCUGGAGUCACGUUCCACGCGGAGCAUGAACUCGCUGAUGCUGUCCUCGAUGUCAUAGGACAGCUCGCGAACCUCCUUGGCCCAGCACUUGUCUUGGUCGUCAGGCUCCUCUGAAUCUGAGAUCUUCUUCAUGAAGACAUACAUGCUCUCGAGCUCAGCUUUUAGGAACAUGAUCUGCCCCUUAGCUUCUUUGAGCAACUUGUACUCGGCUGUGAGCAGCUCACUAAGCUUUCGAAGCAGGGAGCCCAUGGCGCCGCCCGAUGCGCUCACCACCGCAGCCUCCAUGGCCUCCUCUUUCCUCUCUUUGCUUGCUCUCAAUGUGACCGUGUGCAGUUUUCUCUGCGGUGCAGUGUGAGGUCUGCCAAGUGCCAAGCAAGCGCUUGACUGGAACAAAUGAGACCCUAAGCAAAGAAAGAUUCCUCUCAUCAAUCACAGAUAGAUACAUAUGCAAUCUCUUUCUUCCUUGUUAUUCCAAUGACUUUUUUCACAUGUGAUCAGUGUUCUCUUUAGCAUAAAGUCGUAAUAAUGGAGAAUAGGGUGCCCACUGCACGGUACCAGUCCAAAAGGAAACAAAGUUGAUAGGUACAUGUGGAUGCCUAUCGUGCGUCUUGUGGUUUGCUCAUCCUAAAAGUCUUUCCACUACCGUUAGUUUCUGAUAAAAUAAUCUAAAGAGAACAAUGAAUACAUACAUAUCAAUACAUGAAACUACCAAUCUCGCUAAAAAAAUAUGUAAGAAACAUGGCUCCAUUAGGCUAUAAUUGUGAUUUUGUUGAUUGUAUGAUAAUAUAGUCAAUCCGACUAAUGUUAAGAUUUUAGAAUUGUCUAAUUCACCCCUCCUCCUCAUAGGCUACAAGCACCGAUUUCUUUCAAAAAAUUAUUAUCGCACGCUGUGAUAGACAGCUGAACCAGCAUCACUAAACGUGAUUUAUUUGACAUUAAUUGUGGUGUUCUCUUUGGAGUGUGUUUUGAGGUCUAUGACAAGACGAUUGGCUACAAUGGGGUCCACAUGCAGAGAUUCUUCUCACCAAUUAUUGAUCAAUGCCGCACUCGCUUUGUUCCUUUUCAUCAUCUUUGCCUUUGGUUUGAUUUUUGUGGAAGGAAUGUGGCCGCUGCCAAUGGGCGCGCGAUUCCGAAGAACUGAAGGUGAGUGAGGGGCGCUUCUAUAUAACUUGUGGAAGCUGGUUAAACAUUAUAGCUUCAAAGCUCAUUAAGCCCAUUAGAUCAAAAUUAGAAGCUGUCAAUUAUAUUAAAAGGAUUAACAUGAAAGCUGUCCAAUAAUUUUAUACAUGCGGUACCCCUUGGAAGCUCGAGGAGCCGUCGUCUCCUCAUAUGUCAGAUUCUAUAAAAGAAAAUACAAAUAGGAAGCCCUUGCAUGUCUAAUUUAGUAUUUUAUAUUCCACGCGUGCAGCUAGCUCGCAUCUUGUGUUAUUCAACGUAGGUCAUGCACUUUGCAUGAUGCAAAGAAGACCAACCAACUCUAAAUUACUCUCUCCGUCUAAAAUAAAUUAUUCUACGAUUCAAAACUUAUUCUAAAAAUAAAUCAUCUUACUCUAUUUAGAAAGUGUAUGUCAUGGUAAGAAUCAAUUAGUGCUAGCUGGAAGGAUUACUACAUUAUUGUGCUGCAAUACAGGAUAUCAAUAUCAGUUCAUUUAUUUAAACAGUCACUAUAUAAUAUGUGAUAGUUACGUAUAAACUUAGCAAGUUUCGGAACCUAGAUGUACACACCACUGCAUCUUAUAAGGAUUAGAUACCAUGACACCGUGAGGAUUGUCGGUGUACGUCACGGUUCUGUUUUUUUAAAAAAAAAAACCGAACCACAGGUGUAUAUAGAAUGUAGAUAUACAGAGAUGAUCAGAAGCCAGCGCGCGCGCCCGCGCACACUCGCUUGGGGGUAAUUAGUUAAUGAUCGACAUUUACCAAACUGACAGCGGAAAGUGCUUAUAUUUCCCUAAUGAGUCAUAUAUUGAGUAUGUAAAAAAGUGGUAGAGGUUAAUUAGACCUUUAAUCUUGCUUAGACAUGCCCGGCCAGCAUCUGCAGGUGUGCGUGUGCACCCGUGACCCAGCAUCAGCAUUUGUACCCUGUGAUACACAAAGAAAAGGGUAAUGGUCAAUAUUUAGCUAGAAGGAAUAUAUAUAUAUAUAUAUAUAUAUACAUGAAAAAUCUAUUCUACACGCGCUUGUAGCUACUCCUACGUAUGUAUCUCAUGAUGGAGGACGUCGUAUCUAACCCAAUAAAAGAUAUGCACGAUGUGUAUAUGAUCAUACUAGACCAUCUGUAAUGGUACAUACGUUGGGUAUAUGACCGAGUAUGUAGACAUACUUAAUUUUAUAUACUAGUAUUAAGGUAUAAUAAUAUAUGUUUAAAAAAUAAGGAUGCUUUUGAAAUUUUUCGUAUAUAUCCCUUUAAAGUAUCUUAGAAUAAAUAUAUAAAUAUACUCAAAAUAAUAAAUGAGUAUGUGAACAUACGCACGAUGGUAUAUUGAUGGUGAGAGUAGCUACACGCGAGUGUAGAUAAAACCCGUCCUAUAUAUAUAUAGGAAAAAUUCAUUCUACACGCAUUUGUAGCUACUCCCAUAUGUGUAUCUCAUGACGUAGGACGUAUCUGACCCAACGAAGAGCAUGUACAUGAAGUACGUGAUCAUAUUAGAAUAUCUAUAAUGGUAUAUACGUUGGGUAUGUGACCAUACAUACAGUAUGCGAACAUACUAAUUUUUAUAUACUAGUACUAUAUAUAUGAUGAGUUUUUUCUACACUCGCAUGUAGCUACUCUCAUCAUCAGUAUACCACCGUGCGUAUGUCCGUAUACUUAUAAUUCACUUUAAAUAUGUUUAUGUACUGAUUCUAAGAUACUCACAAGGAUACAUAUGAAAAAUUUCAAAAGCAUCCUUAUUUUUUAAAUAUAUCAUCAUUAUACCUGUAGUAUUAUUAGUAUAUAAAAAUAAGUAUGUCCAUGUAUUUUAUGUAUGGUCACGUACCCAAUAUAUAUACUAUCAUAUAUAUAUAUAUAUAUAUUAAGUGCUGAAUUUUGAAAAAAAAAAGACAUGGUAUAUAAAAGAAAAGGAGCUCGUGCAGUGCGUGACGGACCCACACACGUCUUAUCAAGUGCUGCGCCAACGUAGGGUCCAGCGCAUCAGUCAGGUGAUUAUUGAUUUCAUUAAUCUCCUCGUGAACGAUGUGACUAUCUUUGAUAAAAGAGAAUUCCUUUAUCCGGGCCUCCGCGUGAUUUGUAAAGUGGCGUCAAUAGAUUUUAAUUCUGGAUCCCUAAUUUGUGAAGCUUUGUUCAUCUCGCCGUGAGGACUAGUAGAAUGAAAAAGAAAUAGAGACAAUUCGAGACAAAACAAUUUGUUACUCGGUCCUCAUCAGGUAGUAGCUUGCAUGGAACCGACUAAUCAAAGCUAGAAAGCACUUGAGCAUCCAUCAUUAUUCCUAACUCAACAAUUCCACACCACAGGCCUGUGAUGCUGAAAAUUGAUUCAGAACCAGCAGCAUCGGAAAAUAAUGACAACUUUCAAACGAACAGUACAGCUAGCUGACAGUAGUACAUGAAACGAGAAGACUGGAGCCGGUCGGCGGCCGACAGAUGUGUGUAUCGUCUAGAUUUCUUCAGCAGAGACAUGAUAUGGUCCUGCCCACAACCACAGCCCAAGCAAUGGCCGUCAAAUGAAAUAUCCAACUGAAACGUCGUGGUACCAGCUACGAGUAUGUAAUGCUGCUGGCGAUUCAUAAAAGGAGGCAAACUGCAUGACUUUGUACUUGGCCUUGAUCAUGUGCUGCUGCUGCUACUCCCACCGUUCCCCUCCUCCUCCUCCUCCUCAGGCUCAUCAAAUACCCACCCUCUACCUUUGUUAACCUUGAUGUUGGCUACAGGACGUCGUGGGUGCAUGUCAGCCGUGUCCCUCAGCGCGGACUCAGCAGCCUCCGGUUGGAUUCGAGCACUGCCAGGUCUAUCCCCCAUCUACAGAGAUUUCUUUGAGGCCUGGUAGGUGCUCGAUGCCAGCAGGCACAGCUCCGUACCUGUCCAUCCCUUUGCAUUGAAACAUAGCUCGAGCCUUUCGAGCUUGGGCAUUGUCUCUGCCUCAAAGGUCAGGUACGAUAUCCUGCCAC
RNAcentral lists this long non-coding RNA (14509 nucleotides) under Panicum hallii. RNAcentral describes it as "long non-coding RNA (PHAL_LNC000377)". Lineage: Eukaryota; Viridiplantae; Streptophyta; Magnoliopsida; Poales; Poaceae. The record is from RNAcentral.